CGGGGCCGAGGCCGGAACUCUCGGGCGCUGGUCUCCCGGGCGCGGGGGAGGAGGAGGCUGCAGCGCACGCCGCGCGCGCCUCUUUGUGGUCGGACGGGCGAAUGCCUGGCGCCAUGGCGGAAAGCCGCUGCGACAGCGUCCGGGAAGAAAGCCAAAAGAUCUUUGAACUCCGAGCCACCUGCUCACUGGAGCCGGCAAUUUCCAAGAAACACUUGCAAGAACAGACAGGCCCUGUCCAGAAAGCUGUUGCAUUUCCCCAUCCGCUCAAGGACACAGGGCUCACUCGCCGGGCUGCGGAGGAAACCGGCCCCGUGAGGCAAACAUGAACCCUGCCUCCAAGCCGAGGCUUUCCCUCCCGGCGGCCCCAGCAGCUAUUCAAUUUUCUCAAGCAGAAGACCACCCUGGGAGUAUCAGAAGGAGUUUCCAGGGACCCACAGGCAGUCCGAUGGACAAGGUCGGAAGUAGAUUUCAGGAAUGUGCACUUCCAGGCUGGGGACCUGCUUGGUAUUUGCAGGGCCCUGGGUUCGGUAGCCAGUACUGGAAGGGAAAGGGCACUAUGUAAUAAUACACAUAAGGGCACACACAUACAUACAAAAUGCAGGUAGGUCACUCCUUUUCAGGGAAGUCUUCUCAUAUAUUAUCAUAUUAUAGUGGAUAUAUUUAUUUGUACAGCCUGUAAUUCCAGCACUUGGAAAGACCAGGAGUUCAAGACCAGCCUCUGCUAUGUAGUUAGUAGUUAGGAAGCCAGCUUGGUCUGUUAUGAGAGCGCAUCCAGGACACCCCAAAACCCAUUAUUCGGGUUUGAGACUGACUCCGACCCUUGAGAGCUAUCCAGAAUUUAGAAAUUUAGAGGAAAUUUUGGAGCAUUGAAAGAGUUAAAAUACAGAAAAUUUUACAGAUUUCAUUUAUGCCUCUGGGAGUAUGGGGAAACAAGGUGACAUUCUGGCAGCCUCGUAUUUAGGCAAGUCCGUUGACCUUUAUUAGGCCCUGGUUCUAGCUUCUAAGAGAAAAGUCCACCUAGAGGAAGAAAGAUAGUAAAUGUGAAUGGGGGAAAGUUCAGCCCAUACCUACCUGCAUCAGCCCGUACCUACGAUUGUCAAAACUGAGCAGGGGAAAAGGGACCUCUUAUUCUCGUGACUAUUUCUACAAGAUCGAGAGGGUUCCCGCAGCCCCGGUAUGUGGAAGGCAGCCAGGCAUCCCUUCUCGCCCCGGAUGCCAUCCCCACCUUCCUGGCCUGUCACCCGCACAGCCGGAACGCCGGCGGGUUCUGCAGCAACGGCAGCUCCGGAACUGCCGGCCUCCGCGUCCGCAGCGCCGCCGCCAGCCAGGCUGGAGCCAAGUCUGACCCCAGCGUCUGACCCCAGCUUAUCCAGGAACAAUGCAAACAGAGAGGAGCAUCCAGAGUCUGGGCAGCAGGUACAGGCAAAUCCCCUUUGCGUAUGAUGUCAAGCGAAACGUGUACAAUGAGGAGAAUUUCCAGCAGGAACACAAGAGGAAGGCCCCUUCUACCGGAAACUUGGACAUCAGCAUCACCACUUUCAAGCACCAUGUCCAGUGUCGAUGCUCAUGGCACAAAUUCCUACGAUGCAUGCUUACAGUCUUUCCCUUCCUGGAGUGGAUGUGUUUGUAUCGAUUCAAGGACUGGCUUCUUGGAGACUUACUUGCUGGAUUAAGUGUUGGUCUUAUUCAGGUUCCCCAAGGCCUGACACUGAGUUUGCUGACGAGGCAGCUGGUUCCUCCCCUCAACGUCACUUACUCUGCCUUCUGCUCGUCAGUUAUUUAUGUAAUACUUGGAUCAUGUCAUCAAAUGUCCAUUGGUCCCUUUUUCCUUAUGAGUGCUCUGAUGAUCAAUGUCCUGAAGGAGAAACCAUUCAACAAUGGUCACCUGAUCAUGGGAAGUUUUGUCAAGGAUGACUUUUCUAAUCCCAACUUCUACGUAAACUAUAAUAACUCCUUAAGCGUGGUGGCAACCACAACCUUCCUGACUGGAAUUAUUCAGCUGUCAAUGGGUGUGCUGGGCAUGGGCUUUGUGACCACGUAUCUUCCUGAGGCAGCGAUCAGCGCCUACCUGGCUGCUGUGGCCCUGCACAUCAUACUGGCCCAGUUGACAUGCAUCUUUGGGAUUAUGAUCAGUUUUCACGCUGGUCCCAUCUCCUUCUUCUAUAACAUAAUCAACUACUGCAUCUCUCUCCCCAAAGCGAACUCCACCAGCAUUCUGUUGUUCCUGACCGCCGUGGUGGCCCUGAGGGUCAACAAGUGCAUCCGCAUCUCCUUCAACCGCUACCCCAUCGAGUUCCCCAUGGAGCUGUUUCUGAUUCUCGGCUUCACUGUACUUACAAACAAGAUAAGCAUGGCUACGGAAAACAGCAAGGUGUUGAUUAACAUGAUUCCUUACAGCUUUGUGCUCCCUGAGACUCCAGAGUUUGGCAUUCUUCACAAUAUCAUUUCACAAGCCAUUUCUCUAUCGCUAGUGAGUGCCUUUCUGCUCAUAUCUCUGGGCAAGAAGAUUGCCAGAUUCCAUAACUACAGAGUCAAUUCCAACCAGUUUGCAUCUCUGGUAGGCGCAGGUGUGAUGCUGCUCCUGAUGGUGAAGAUAGGAAACUUCUUCCACAAUCUGCCCAAUGCCGUGCUGGCAGGAAUCAUCCUGAGCAAUGUGGUGCCCUACCUUGAGACCAUUUACCACUUACCCGGUCUGUGGAGGCAGGACCAGUAUGACUGUGUCAUUUGGAUGGUGACAUUCUUCUCUGCAAUUUUCCUGGGACUAGACCUUGGACUACUUAUUUCACUCGUCUUUGCUUUCUUCGUCAUCACUGUUCGUUCGCACAGAACGAAGCUCCUCGUCUUGGGUCAGAUCCCCAACACCAACAUCUAUAGGAGCGUCAACGAAUACCGGGAGGUGGUGUUCAUCCCUGGGGUGAAGAUCUUGCAGUGUUGCAACUCCGUCACCUUCGUCAAUGUGUAUGCCCUAAAGCACAAGCUGUUAAAAGAGGUCAAUAUGGUAAAGACGCCUCUUAAAGAAGAAGAAAUUUUCACUCUGUUUCAUGAAAGUGAAACCAGUGUCUCGGAACACAAAAUAUGUAGGUGUUUCUGCGACUGUGAAGAGCUGGUGCCGGAGAGCAGGAUUGUCUACACAGAGCGGUAUGAAAACAAACAGGAGCGGGGCUAUUCCUCCACUAACCUGAUCCGCUGCUCCUACCUGGGCAACGCAGAGUCAAGCCCGAGCACCUCUGAAGACCCUGUCCCCUACACAGUGUCUUCCACAUCACAGAGAAAUCUGGGGCAGAACUACGACGACAUGGAGAAAACCUGGGUGUCCAACAACCCCUCAAGAAACAAUUCACUACCGCCGCCUGAGACCACGGAGAGCUUAGCACAGAGCAAAUCCGUCAUCCUGCCUUACUCAGACACGGCUCUGCAGAUGAGUAUCCACACCAUCAUUCUGGACUUUUCCAUGGUGCACUAUGUGGAUACUCGGGCUUCGGUUGUGUUAAGGCAGAUGUGCAAUGCUUUCUACAAUGCCAACAUUUUGGUGCUCAUUUCAGGGUGUCACACCUCUGUGGUCAAGUCAUUCGAGAAGAAUAAUUUCUUUGAUGAAGGCAUCACAAAGUCCCAACUCUUCCUCAGCCUCCAUGAUGCCGUGCUGUUUGCCUUGUCAAGGAAGCUGCCUGAGCCCUCGGAGUUAAGCAUAGACGCAACUGAGACAGUGAUACAGGAAACCUACUCAGAAUCGGACAAGAACGGCAAUCUGAGACAUAAGGCGGGUAGCAGCGCCAUGGACGGUUCUCAGCAUGUGAAUCCCAACUACGGCAAGACCCGUAAGCCCCUUCAGGAUGACUUGGACUUUGACCUGGACCCCAUGCUGACUUCGGGGCAGAGCAGUGGGAUGGCUCUCAACCUGGACCUGGACCUGGAGUCAGAGCUAGACCCUGAAUCCGAAAUAGAGUCUGAGGUGCAAACCAAGCCUGAGCUGGAGUCAGAGUUUGAGACAGAUGCCCAGACAGAGCUUGAUAUAGAGGAGACGGAGCCAGAGCCAGAUUUAGGGAGAGGGAAGAGGCCCCAGCCUAAGACCAGGACAAGGGCUUCCAGCCCCUGGCGGAACUACUUGAGUGCUUAUCGCUUUGGGUCUUCAGGCUCCCAGUCUCGGGCUCCUCCUCACACUCGCUCAGUAGAGAAGAAACAGCCACGUACUCAUCCGAACUCCUAAGGCAAAGAGGACGCGUGGUAGGUGAAGUGGAAAUAGAUAGCAAAUCCUUCCUGCCCGUAGGGCAUCACUCCACAGGAGAUCUAGACCGGGCACCAGCCUUCAGUCUGUGACCCACCUCCUGCUGAACUUCCUCCUCUGGAUUCUGGGGUCACAUCUGGGGACAGUUGUCUCUGAGCUCUGUCUCCAGGCUUCCCAGAUUUGACCUUCAGCAGAUUUCCAGUGAAGGCUUCCCUGCACAUACUCCAGGCCUCUGGGAACUGUAUAGAUUGUAUCUAACUUCCCCUUCUCAUCUGUUUCCCUUUCUCCAAAGAAAUGAGGCUGGAAUAAAGUAUGUGACUCCACUUAACAUUGAGAGCUCUCCUGCUUUUCUCUGUACCCCGAAACCCUGAGGAAAUGUUGGAUGAGAGGGCCUCCAGAAGGCAGCCAGCAAAUGGAAACUGGUUAGCACUUGGAGCUGACAUUCGAGCUUUUCUCAGCCUCUGGGUGCAGCCAGGCCAGAGGUGAGCCAGGCUUCAGGGCCAGAGCGCGGACGCUGCCCAGAGGGCACUUUCACCCUCAGUCUUCCCUGUCGUUCAGUGGCACCAACACAAGUGAAUGGUGACAUCGUUGGCUCCAUCGACAGCUGUUCUUUCUUACAGGUCUUCCAAGCCAACGUGGAGCCAGACCUUCUGGUGGGCCAGACUUAACUUAAAAUGUGUGAUGGAUGGAAGAGCCGGCUCAGCGGUUUAGAGCACUGAUUGCUUUUGCAGAGGACCUGGGUUUCAGUUCCCAGCACCCACAAUGGGUGGCGGCUCACACGUGGGUGUAACUCCAGCCCUCCCCAAUGGCACUACAUGCAUGUGCUGUACAUACAGAUGAGCAAGCACACAUACACAUUGAGAAAAAAUAGAUAAGAAUUUAUCACCGACAAACCCCGUGGGCUAGGAAAAGUCAUCCUAGUCUUAUUCAGAUCCACUUAAAGUUUCCUUGUUUCUCCAUUAAAACUGUCUGGUAAUAAGUUAAGCCUAGAAAAGGAUCACAAAAGGCCUGUGGCCACAGAUACACCAAACCUUACAUUUUCCUUCCGGUCAAUGAACAGGACUCCUCCUGCUUGGGUUCUUAGCCUCGCUUGUCAGGUGAAAGCUGCCUGGGGGCUACGGAGGUGGCUCAGGAGAGAGCUAGCACGAAGGCCUGAGUUCAGGUCCCCAGCAGCCCUGGAGGGUGGGGGUGACAGGAGCGGGAAGAUGGCUGCCACUCCUUAGACUAGGCCACCAGACCAGCCAAAACAUGCCACGCUCCAGACUCGGGAGAGACUGAGUAGAGGACAGAUAGCCGGUGCCUUCCUCUGCCCUCCACGCAUGUGCCCACACGCACUUGUACACACACAUACACACACACAGCCCCAGUCAUGGAUAACGUGUUCUCUCGUUGCACAAGUGCUUGCUGGCCAUCUGUUGCACCUGGCGACACAGUGUUGAUUGUCACCUUGAGAGAAUCCAGGAAACAUGCCUCCUCCGGGGCCUUCCCAGAGAGGACCCCUCCGAGGGCAGGACCUCCCCGGAGUGGGCAGAAGCUUCCAGUGGACAACCCAGAGGCCGAGAAUGUUGCCGUCUGAGCCAGCCUGUGCGCUGUCCCACCGUCCUCUGCUGCCCUCAGACUCCAGUGUCCUUGGCCUUCCAAUAUGGGCAGACUCUAGGAACUGCUGACCACCGAGAGGUGUCAUCUCACGGACUAACCAGUUACAGUAAGAUACACAGCCACUGUUGGCCAACCUGGCCCCUGUCAGGGUCUUUUGGCUGCAUAUAAGGCUAUGCACUCUGCACCACAUGCGUGCCUGGGACCCAUGGAGGCCAGGGACGGACACUGGAUUCCCUGAGCAGAAGUGAGGGCACCAGGAGUGAAACCCAGCUCUCCUGGAAGAGCAGUCAGCACUCUUACCUACCGAGGUAUCUCUUCAACCUUAAAAAAAAAAAAAUAAAACAAACAAAACCCCAUGAUUUCUGGGGAUGGGACUCAACACAGAGCCUUGUGCUUGCAAGGCAAGCGUGUUCCUGACUGGACCGUCCCGCACCCCAAAUCAGUACCUAGAUGCCUGUGGCCCCAGCGUACACAGGCAGCACACCUCCUCCUGUCUCCCCAGCGCUCACUGAAGGCCUCCUGUGAGUGAGCAAAGGCACCUGGCUGCUGCAGAGCUGUCACUCCACGGAUGGCGGGAAAGACAAGGCAGCUCAGCUCAGGAGCACAAGGCUCAAUGUCGGGGUCCGCGCUGUUUGCGAGUCCAGUGGCUUCCAGUCAUGGAUUCACUGCGUGAUUCAACGAGGGUCUCUUGGAGCUGUCAGCUGGCGGGCAUUAUACAGACAGAGUGCUAAAAGACCUGGGGUGGGGGCUCAUGAGAUGGCUCAGAGGUGAAGAAGCCUGCUGCCAAGCCCGAAGAUCUGAGUUCAAUCCCCAGGACCUACCUGGUAGAGGAAGACUACUGACUCUUACACGCUCCUCUCUGAGUAGACACGGGGACACGGACAAACAUUUUAAGAAGGACGGUUUGUAUAUAAAAAUACAUACUUAUAUAUAAUAUAAAAUAUAUAUAUGUUGGUCAAAGUGGCACACACCUUUAAUCCCAGAACUCAGGAAGCAGAGGCGGGCAGAUUUCUGUGAAUUUGAGGCCAGCCUGGUCUACAAAGUGAGUCCAGAGAAGUCAAGGCCACACAGAGAAACCCUGUCUCAGAAAACCAAAAAUAGAGAUAGAUAGAUAGAUAGAUAGAUAGAUAGAUAGAUAGAUGGAUGGAUGGAUGGAUGGACAGAUGAAUAGAUAGAUGGAUGGAUAGAUGGAUAGAUUUAUUGAGGGCAUACAAACCACACUCUGUGAGUGGGACUCAGAGAACAAUCUGUGGGAUGGUUCUCUCCUGCCACCAUAUGGGUUCCCGGGUCACAAGUUGGCAGCACCCACCUUUACCCGCUGGUCUAUCUUGUCAGCCCAGUGAUGGCCUUUCAAACACCCACUCUACAGAUUACCAGGCAACGCCUGCCACCAGUGAGGCCCAUUGCUCCUGGAACUUGUGCUGGAGACAGAGGCUCCAGCUCCCCAGGCGUGUGCUUCGCCACAGAGCCUGCCUUGCUGCCAGCCCCUUUUAUAGCCCCCACUUUUUAUUCUGAGACGGGGGCUCUCAAAGUUGGGCAGGCUGGCCUUGAACUUGCAACCUUCUUGCCUCAGCCUCUCAAUUAGUAACACCCCAAUUAGCCAAAACCCCAUUUACGAUAACUGGCUUGAACACAGCUUGGUGCUGGCUAACAAAGUGUAGGGCAAAGUCCACCUCCAUUGUCUGCAGCCCACUCUGAGGCUGACAGAACUGUGACUCUGGGACCUGGGUCAAAAAGACAACAGUCUCGGACCUCAAAGAACUGACACCCCGGGUCCUGUCAGAGCUGCGUUCUGCCCGUGCCUUCUUCACGCAGAGUGAGGCCGGCAGGCGUCAUCCCUAACCAGAAAACAGACAAAACCUCAGAGCUGGGCGCGGUCAGCUCAGGUCUCUGGGCCAUGCCCUCUGCUGCCUCUCACCUGCUUCCCCCUGCCUGUUUCUCCUGUUCCUCUAUUCCCAGCCCACCCACCAACGUCCCUCCAUCUCCGCCUUCCCUCCAGCCCUUCGCCCAGGCUCAUCCUCCUCUGAGACAGAGCAGAAAGGUCCAGGCAGCUUGUGUGCUCUGAGCUCCUCAGGCUCACCUGCCAGGGAGACUCCAGAGCUGCUAUGGGUGUAGCCACCUCCUGGACAGGCUGGACCGGCUAGUCUCCGCUCUCUGCUCCCCUUCACCCUGCUAGGCCUGGGAGGCUGCCUGGAGCCUGUCCUAAGAGGAUAUGCCGCCGCCCCCUUCUGACUUGAGGUGGGUUCCGGCAGCGGGAGCCUGAGAGGGGAAAGACACCGGGCGCUUGCUUCCCUUGUGCUUCUCAGAGGGCCCAGCUGCCGCCGUGGCUGCAGUUGUGUGAGCAGAGCAUCCCCAACGAGCCAGCCCGGCUCGGCCACCCAUCCUCAAUAGCCAACCAAAGAGCUAAGUCAGCGGAAAGCUGCGGAAGGAGAUUUAGAAUCUAGUGCGCGCACCCUGCGGUGAGAAAGGAAGAGGCCUGUGACCUGCCGGUCUUCUCUGGGGUCCUGAUGCGAGGUUUGGCUUUAAUGGAGGUCCCCGGCCAUGCCCAGCUACGCAGUCCCGGUCAGUGUGGUGUGGCCCCGCCCAUCGCUGACCCAGGGCUGUCCGGGCGCCAGUCUCUCCUGCGAGGUGGCCUGCCGCUUGUCAGAAUCCUGUGAAAACGUCUUCCUGGGAGACAAGUUCCCCCUCUACAGGCGUCAGGCUUGUCCCUCUCCCAGCGUGAGAUUCCUGGGGAAUUACAAUUCCUCGUAGACCUUUGUGUCAGUAACCCGAUGGCCACAGGGAGGGGCGCAAUCCCCGUCUCUGUCUGUCGCCUCUCUCUGUCUCUCCACACCCACACCCACGCACAGGAUUUCACGUAGUCCAAGUUGACCUCAAGUAUGCUACGUAGCUGAGAAUGACCUUAAACUGUGGUCCUCCCACCUCUUCCUCCAAGUGCUGGGAUCACAGGCAUGCGCCAGCACACCAGGUUUGUGGGGACCAAACCCAGGGCUCUCUGUGUGCAAGAGCCUGUCUAUAGUAUCUUCACUGCUGCUGGGGCUUUCGUUACCACGCCCCCUCCCCCCCUUUUAACAGCUUUGCGAUGGACUGAGACACAAGGAGGACAUGGCCACCUACAAGGGAAGGAAAGGAGCUGAGGGAGUCUCCUUCCAGCCCUCGGGAGAAGCCAAUCCCGCCAGCAUCCGCAUCCCAAGCCUCUAGCUUCCUGAGUUUCUGCUUUGAUGCCAUGGCCGUAGCUUGUUCUACUGACUCCAGAAAAGUAACAGACUCUCUCAGUGUUCUGGAGAAUGGCUCCUUUCCUGUCCCUCAAGGUCACAAAGUAUCUCCAUCUAUGUAAACUGUGGGAUUUUCCUAUCCAGAAAGCAUUUUCUGCUUACAGCUUCAGUUUCUUUGUUGUUUAUAUCCUCCAGCAGGAUGAAGGCAAACCACAGGGGACUUGCCACUUUGGAAUUAGUUUGUAUUUAGUGUAACAUGUUGUCGGCCUCAAGAUAAAGGCCAACCAAGGCUAGUAAGUCAACUCCUGUGUCAAAAAAGAAAACAAAAGCUGAAACAAGCAAACAAAAAAAGAUAAAGAAUGUAGCUGGGUGCGGUGGCAGGCACUUAGUACUCAGGAAGCAGAGGCAGGAGGAUUGCCUGGAGUUUGAGGACAGCCUGGACUUUGUAGCAGAACCGUAUCUCAAAAGACCAGUAACAAUGAAAGGACAGUGACUGUGAGACUUGAGGACACAAAAAAAGUAUGUUCCGGUUGUGCAGGCUUAAGUGAUCAGAUUUAGAAACUGCCUCAGAAGUGUUGGGGGAAGACUACAAGAACAGUCUUUACAAGUAUGUUACUUGUAGAGGAAUGGGAUUUUUUUUUUCCAGAAAUUAAAUUCUGACACCGCCCAUGAGCAGCCAAAAAUAUGAUGGCUUUUGCUGCCUGAAUAAUUCCAUUUUAAAAAAGAUUUGCAGAAAAACAGCUGGGGGAGGAGGCAUGUGUAUCCAAGAGGCAAUGAAUGCCAAAAAAAAAAAAAAAGAAGAAGAACAGCACACCACUCUUUGAGACAGGGUCCCAAGUAGCAGAGGCUAGCCUUGAACUGGCUAUGUGGCAAAGGACAACCUUGAACUUCUGAUCAUCUUGUUCCUGCUUUCCCAGGGCUGAACUUACAGGAGUGUACCACCUCAGUUUUAUGUAACCCAGAGCAUCUGCUUGCUGUAGCCACUGAGACAUGUCCUCAGCCCCAAUAAUUACUACUAUUAAAUAAUUUCCAGAAAGUUAAAGUCCAGAAAAGACAACCUUUUUCUGAACUGACAGCAACGAGCACGGGAAGGUCUGAUAGUUACAUGGUUUACACAGUUUACAAAUAUAAAUUAAGAAGCAGAAGUCAGGUGGGUGGACUCGAUCACCUUUAAUCCCAGCACUCGGGAGGCUGAGGCAGGUGGAUCUCUGACUUCAAAGGCCAGCCUCAUCUACAGAGUGAAAUCCAGGACAGCCAGGGCUGCACAGAGAAACCCUGUCUUGAAAAACCAAAACAAAUCAAAACAAAACAAAAGAAAAGCAGUACUGGAAGUAGCUUUUUCUAGGAUAGGAGGCGAAGGUACAAACUUACAUGAAGAUUCAUAGAGACCUUAGAAAAAGUGUGGAGACCCUAAUAACGCCUAUGGAACAAGAAGGAAAAAAAAACACAUGAGGGGGAAAAGAUAGACAGAUGACCAAUUCUGGGAAAUCAGUUCAGUGAAUUUUAUGUGGCCGCUGGAAGAGAUUCUCAGCUGAGUUGUUGAGCAUGUGGUCAGCAAGAAGCAAUGGGCAGCAACACACACACACACACACACACAGGCCUGAGGAGGCCAGGUGUCAGCUCCUAGAACUGGUGGUGUCAGCUGCCAUGUGGGAAUCAAAGUCUGGUUCUCUGCAAGAGCAGCCAGCACGCUUAACCUCCGAGCCACCUCUCCAGCCCCCUGGUCAUCACUUUACUAAACUGCUGGGGGAGGGGGGAGGGCUAGUUGGUCCUGGAAACCUGACCGGGAUGAUGAAGGAAUGAAGACAGGCACACUGAAAAAACCGGGAUCAGGUGAGCAGUGUCCACAGUGGCAGAGGGCACCCACCACGCAAUUGAAAACUCAGAGUGUUGGUUCCGCACAGCACAAGGACAGGUAGGUUAGCUCGCCUCGAAGGAGGUCUCUGCAGGGGAGCAGUCUCAGGCUGUAACACGGGGACAACGUGGUCCUUGGUAUGCCUACAACUCACAUUCACUCAGGACGUGAUCGGCUCCCCAAAGGGGUUCCCUGGGCUAGUCUCAGACUCUAGGACAUCAGGUCUUUUCUGGCCCUGUUAUCCUCCGAGUCUCAAGUUUAAAGCAGAAAGCAGUUUUCUUUGGCUAACAAGGGCUGGCCUCUUUCACAAUCAACCCAGAAAUGCCACCGUUCAGGUUCUGUGGAGCCGGAGCCGACACAGGUGAUCUGAAUUUCCAAUCAGGCACACCCACCUUUCCAGCCCCACCUCUCCCGUACCUGCUGUCAUUCUUGGCCCCAGUCUCCACCCACAAGUUUCCAGCCUGGACAUUUUUGCUCAAUUGAUUUUUCUUUUGGGAAUGCUUGCUAUCUCCUUCUCCACCUAUGAAAAUCCUACACCCUUCCCAGCACCCACAUCAACAGCCGGGUUGGACUGAUUCACCUACUUGGCUCACGAGGUCGCGUCCAGGGCCCCCAGGCUUGAUCUGUGCUCUCAUCUUCCUUUCCCAACCAGUUGACUACAUGUCUGCCUUCCCUCCUUCCCUCCAUCCUCCUACUUAUUCUGCUUGCAUGUAAAUGUGUGUGCAGUCUGCAUAGAAGUAUUAUGUGUCCCUAUGUGUGUAAGCACAGUUGUGAGUGGUGCAUGCGUGCGUGUGCCUGGGCAUGGGGAGGCCUGAGGUUGUCUCCUCCCCUUUAUGGAGGCUCUCACUGAACGGGAGCUUGCCACCUUAGCUAGCUAGCCAACUUCCUCCGGGGUCCUUUGUCUCCAGCAGGCCACUGCCCCUGCCCAACACAUUUAUGGGUUCUGGGGCUCCAAAUGCCAGGUGAGUGCUCUACCCACUGAGCUAUCUCCCGAAUGGGAGUUCCACUUCUUGUAGAGCAGGGUUUUGAUGCCCUACCCUGUCCAGCUGGAAGGUAGACA
RNA transcript from Meriones unguiculatus (Mongolian gerbil), 11951 nucleotides. It is a transcript of the gene named solute carrier family 26 member 8, with no coding region annotated. NCBI's taxonomy places the organism in Eukaryota, Metazoa, Chordata, Mammalia, Rodentia, Muridae. The transcript has 20 exons. The record is from RefSeq and is a predicted model, not a curated record.